Molecule: long non-coding RNA, 392 nt
Filed under: Homo sapiens (human)
Lineage: Eukaryota; Metazoa; Chordata; Mammalia; Primates; Hominidae
Description: non-protein coding lnc-WNT10A-2:1
Source: RNAcentral
AGGGCUGAGACUUUGUUUUGUUUACUGUUCUUUUCUCAAUGCCUAGCACAGUGCUUGGCAUAGACCAGGCAUUUAAUAUUUGUUGAAUAAGUGAAUGAAUGACUUUCCCCUCCAAACCAGUUCUCCUUAACUUGCUUGUUUCUCUUUGUCACAUCAUCAUUUUCUUAGUCACUGAACCUCAAAACUGGUGUAAACUUGGACUCUCACCUUCUCUUCUCCUUUCUAUAUUCAAUCAGUGGCCAAGAUCUGCUUAUUCUUCCACUUCAUUCACAUGGUCAAUAUCCUAGUUCACCACACACCUCAAACAUCACAACGACCUUCCAACUAGCCUCUGUCAUUCCUCUUUCUUCCUCUUCAAUCCAUCCCUAUCCUAUUGUUCUGUUUUUCUCUCC